This 214-nucleotide ribosomal RNA is filed under the name uncultured bacterium. Its description in RNAcentral is "partial 16S ribosomal RNA". It matches the Rfam family "Bacterial small subunit ribosomal RNA", at positions 1288 to 1500 of the family's 1533-position model. The record is from RNAcentral.
CACGUUCGGAUUGCAGGCUGAAACCCGACCCUGUAUGAAGUUGGAAUCGCUAGUAAUCGCGGAUCAGCAUGCCGCGGUGAAUACGUUCCCGGGCCUUGUACACACCGCCCGUCACACCAUGAGAGUCGGGAACACCCGAAGUCCGUAGCCUAACCGCAAGGGGGCGCGGCCGAAGGUGGGUUCGAUAAUUGGGGUGAAGUCGUAACAAGGUAAC